This 240-nucleotide unclassified non-coding RNA is filed under the name soil metagenome. RNAcentral's name for it is "partial contains 5.8S ribosomal RNA, internal transcribed spacer 2, and large subunit ribosomal RNA". The record is from RNAcentral.
AAGACUAUAGACCUGCGGAGUACCUGCGGAAGGAUCAUUCAAAAUAAAAGUGAAAUUUUUAUGGCACUUUUAAAACAAUCCAUAUUCACCUUGUGUGCAAUGUUUUUUGAAAGAAGGUCAUGUAAAAAUGACUUUUUUUCUUUUAACUUAUUACAAACACUAUUUUAUAAGAAAUCUCGUCUGAUAACAUUAUUAUUGAAUAACUUAAUUCAUAAAUAUAACUUUCAACAAUGGAUCUCU